UGGGGCAAGACCGUCCACGUAAGAUGGGA
RNAcentral lists this non-coding RNA (29 nucleotides) under Homo sapiens (human). Lineage: Eukaryota; Metazoa; Chordata; Mammalia; Primates; Hominidae. The record is from RNAcentral.